UCGGCUUGUAAUGUAGGCUUGGGACUGGUAUGGUACAUAUGGACAUAUCAAGUGACUAAGCCUCCUUGGUGCUACACUAACUUUGGGGUCCACACUUAACCCAUAUUUCACUUUAUUUCCUCCCUUAUUUCUACUAAUUUUUUCACUUAUUUUUCACUUUUACCCACCCUCUUUACACUACGAACUCCUAUGAUAGCCACCCUCAACUUAGGAUUUUUUUCCUUAG
RNAcentral lists this long non-coding RNA (226 nucleotides) under Capsicum annuum. Its description in RNAcentral is "long non-coding RNA (CANN_LNC020991)". The record is from RNAcentral. Lineage: Eukaryota; Viridiplantae; Streptophyta; Magnoliopsida; Solanales; Solanaceae.